AUACGGAGGAUGCAAGCGUUAUCCGGAUUUAUUGGGUUUAAAGGGUGCGCAGGCGGAAAGAUAAGUCAGUGGUGAAAAACUGCCGCUUAACGGUAGUCUUGCCAUUGAUACUGUUUUUCUUGAGUAUGGAUGAGGUAGGCGGAAUGUGCAGUGUAGCGGUGAAAUGCAUAGAUAUUGCACGGAACUCCGAUUGCGAAGGCAGCUUACUGGACCAUUACUGACGCUCAGGCACGAAAGCGUGGGUAGCAAACAGGAUUAGAUACCCUGGUAGUCCACGCAGUAAACGAUGUUCACUCGCUGUUUGCGAUAUACAGUAAGCGGCUUAGUUAAAGCAUUAAGUGAACCACCUGGGGAGUACGAUCGCAAGGUUGAA
This 373-nucleotide ribosomal RNA is filed under the name uncultured bacterium. Its description in RNAcentral is "bacterial SSU rRNA". It matches the Rfam family "Bacterial small subunit ribosomal RNA", at positions 523 to 898 of the family's 1533-position model. The record is from RNAcentral.